GAUGAACGCUGGCGGCGUGCCUAAUACAUGCAAGUCGAGCGAACGGACGAGAAGCUUGCUUCUCUGAUGUUAGCGGCGGACGGGUGAGUAACACGUGGAUAACCUACCUAUAAGACUGGGAUAACUUCGGGAAACCGGAGCUAAUACCGGAUAAUAUUUUGAACCGCAUGGUUCAAAAGUGAAAGACGGUCUUGCUGUCACUUAUAGAUGGAUCCGCGCUGCAUUAGCUAGUUGGUAAGGUAACGGCUUACCAAGGCAACGAUGCGUAGCCGACCUGAGAGGGUGAUCGGCCACACUGGAACUGAGACACGGUCCAGACUCCUACGGGAGGCAGCAGUAGGGAAUCUUCCGCAAUGGGCGAAAGCCUGACGGAGCAACGCCGCGUGAGUGAUGAAGGUCUUCGGAUCGUAAAACUCUGUUAUUAGGGAAGAACAGAUGUGUAAGUAACUGUGCACGUCUUGACGGUACCUAAUCAGAAAGCCACGGCUAACUACGUG
RNAcentral lists this ribosomal RNA (497 nucleotides) under uncultured bacterium. RNAcentral's name for it is "partial 16S ribosomal RNA". It matches the Rfam family "Bacterial small subunit ribosomal RNA", at positions 28 to 507 of the family's 1533-position model. The record is from RNAcentral.